This 526-nucleotide ribosomal RNA is filed under the name Sticta sp. RL-2013z. Its description in RNAcentral is "eukaryotic LSU rRNA". It matches the Rfam family "Eukaryotic large subunit ribosomal RNA", at positions 92 to 631 of the family's 3401-position model. Lineage: Eukaryota; Fungi; Ascomycota; Lecanoromycetes; Peltigerales; Lobariaceae. The record is from RNAcentral.
AGUGAAGCGGCAACAGCUCAAAUUUGAAAUCUGGCCUCUUCGGGGUCCGAGUUGUAAUUUGUAGAGGGUGUUUCGGGCGCGAUGCCGGUCUAAGUUCCUUGGAACAGGACGUCGCAGAGGGUGAGAAUCCCGUACGCGACCGGCGAUCAAGCCUGUGUGAAGCCCCUUCGACGAGUCGAGUUGUUUGGGAAUGCAGCUCAAAAUGGGUGGUAAAUUUCAUCUAAAGCUAAAUAUUGGCCAGAGACCGAUAGCGGACAAGUAGAGUGAUCGAAAGAUGAAAAGCACUUUGGAAAGAGAGUCAAACAGUACGUGAAAUUGUUGAAAGGGAAGCGCUUGCAAUCAGACCGGUCCGGAGGCGAUCAGCCGCUGCUCGUUCAGCGGUGCACUCGCCUGCGAUCCGGCCAGCAUCGGUUUGGGCGGUGGGAUAAAAGUUCCGGGAAUGUAGCUUCUCGCGGGGAGUCUUAUAGCCCGGGUCGCAAUGCCGCCCGCCCGGACCGAGGACCGCGCUUCGGCUAGGAUGCUGGCG